RNAcentral lists this ribosomal RNA (840 nucleotides) under Kluyveromyces marxianus. Its description in RNAcentral is "LSU rRNA". It matches the Rfam family "Eukaryotic large subunit ribosomal RNA", at positions 68 to 952 of the family's 3401-position model. Lineage: Eukaryota; Fungi; Ascomycota; Saccharomycetes; Saccharomycetales; Saccharomycetaceae. The record is from RNAcentral.
ACCGGGAUUGCCUUAGUAACGGCGAGUGAAGCGGCAAAAGCUCAAAUUUGAAAUCUGGCGUCUUCGACGUCCGAGUUGUAAUUUGAAGAAGGCGACUUUGUAGCUGGUCCUUGUCUAUGUUCCUUGGAACAGGACGUCAUAGAGGGUGAGAAUCCCGUGUGGCGAGGAUCCCAGUUAUUUGUAAAGUGCUUUCGACGAGUCGAGUUGUUUGGGAAUGCAGCUCUAAGUGGGUGGUAAAUUCCAUCUAAAGCUAAAUAUUGGCGAGAGACCGAUAGCGAACAAGUACAGUGAUGGAAAGAUGAAAAGAACUUUGAAAAGAGAGUGAAAAAGUACGUGAAAUUGUUGAAAGGGAAGGGCAUUUGAUCAGACAUGGCGUUUGCUUCGGCUUUCGCUGGGCCAGCAUCAGUUUUAGCGGUUGGAUAAAUCCUCGGGAAUGUGGCUCUGCUUCGGUAGAGUGUUAUAGCCCGUGGGAAUACAGCCAGCUGGGACUGAGGAUUGCGACUUUUGUCAAGGAUGCUGGCGUAAUGGUUAAAUGCCGCCCGUCUUGAAACACGGACCAAGGAGUCUAACGUCUAUGCGAGUGUUUGGGUGUAAAACCCGUACGCGUAAUGAAAGUGAACGUAGGUGAGGGCCCGCAAGGGUGCAUCAUCGACCGAUCCUGAUGUCUUCGGAUGGAUUUGAGUAAGAGCAUAGCUGUUGGGACCCGAAAGAUGGUGAACUAUGCCUGAAUAGGGUGAAGCCAGAGGAAACUCUGGUGGAGGCUCGUAGCGGUUCUGACGUGCAAAUCGAUCGUCGAAUUUGGGUAUAGGGGCGAAAGACUAAUCGAACCAUCUAGUAGCU